GCGGCUUUAGCCCAACUGGUAGAGGCACCUGGCCGAGAUCCAGCACAGUCGGGGUUCGACUCCCCGAAGCCGCA
This 74-nucleotide transfer RNA is filed under the name Saccharothrix espanaensis. RNAcentral describes it as "tRNA-Leu". It matches the Rfam family "tRNA". Rfam says of the family: Transfer RNA (tRNA) molecules are approximately 80 nucleotides in length. Their secondary structure includes four short double-helical elements and three loops (D, anti-codon, and T loops). Further hydrogen bonds mediate the characteristic L-shaped molecular structure. tRNAs have two regions of fundamental functional importance: the anti-codon, which is responsible for specific mRNA codon recognition, and the 3' end, to which the tRNAs corresponding amino acid is attached (by aminoacyl-tRNA synthetases). tRNAs cope with the degeneracy of the genetic code in two manners: having more than one tRNA (with a specific anti-codon) for a particular amino acid; and 'wobble' base-pairing, i.e. permitting non-standard base-pairing at the 3rd anti-codon position. RNAcentral also lists the same sequence under 2 other names. The record is from RNAcentral. Lineage: Bacteria; Bacillati; Actinomycetota; Actinomycetes; Pseudonocardiales; Pseudonocardiaceae.